GGGCCAGUCGUCUAAUGGCAAGACUGCGGAUUCCAGACCCGCCGAUCGGCGUUCGAAUCGUCGCUGGCCUGCCA
Molecule: transfer RNA, 74 nt
Filed under: Rhodospirillaceae bacterium
Lineage: Bacteria; Pseudomonadati; Pseudomonadota; Alphaproteobacteria; Rhodospirillales; Rhodospirillaceae
Description: tRNA-Trp
Rfam family: tRNA
About the family: Transfer RNA (tRNA) molecules are approximately 80 nucleotides in length.
Source: RNAcentral